AAUCCCGUCUUUGGCAUGGAUGACCGGGGCUUUUGUGAUGCGCUCUCGAAGAGUCGAGUUGUUUGGGAAUGCAGCUCAAAAUGGGUGGUGAACUCCAUCUAAAGCUAAAUAUUGGCGAGAGACCGAUAGCGAACAAGUACCGUGAGGGAAAGAUGAAAAGCACUUUGGAAAGAGAGUGAAACAGUACGUGAAAUUGUUGAAAGGGAAACGCUUGAAGUCAGUCGCGUCGGCCGAGACUCAGCCUUGCCUCGGCUUGGUGUACUUCUUGACCGACGGGUCAGCAUCAAUUUUGCCCCUUGGAUAAUGGCGAGGGAAAUGUGACACCUUUAUAGGUGUGUUAUAGUCUCUCGUCGCAUGCAAGGGUCGGGAUUGAGGAACUCAGCACGCGCCUUCGGGCGUCGGGGCCUUGCCCACGAUACGUGCUUAGGAUGUUGGCGUAAUGGCUUUAAACGACCCGUCUUGAAACACGGACCAAGGAGUCUAACAUGCCCGCGAGUGUUCGGGUGGAAAACCCGUGCGCGCAAUGAAAGUGAAAGUUGGGACCUCUGUCGCGGAGGGCACCGACGCCCGGACCAGAGCUUCUGCGACGGAUCUGCGGUGGAGCGUGUAUGUUAGGACCCGAAAGAUGGUGAACUAUGCCUGAAUAGGGUGAAGCCAGAGGAAACUCUGGUGGAGGCUCGUAGCGAUUCUGACGUGCAAAUCGAUCGUCAAAUUUGGGUAUAGGGGCGA
RNAcentral lists this ribosomal RNA (729 nucleotides) under uncultured Russula. RNAcentral's name for it is "partial 28S ribosomal RNA". It matches the Rfam family "Eukaryotic large subunit ribosomal RNA", at positions 217 to 926 of the family's 3401-position model. Lineage: Eukaryota; Fungi; Basidiomycota; Agaricomycetes; Russulales; Russulaceae. The record is from RNAcentral.